This 821-nucleotide ribosomal RNA is filed under the name uncultured Verrucomicrobiota bacterium. RNAcentral describes it as "bacterial SSU rRNA". It matches the Rfam family "Bacterial small subunit ribosomal RNA", at positions 58 to 855 of the family's 1533-position model. The record is from RNAcentral. Lineage: Bacteria; Pseudomonadati; Verrucomicrobiota.
CAAGUCGGACGGGACUUUUCGCUGUAGCAAUACAGUGGAAAGUUUAGUGGCGAACGGGUGCGUAACACGUGGGCAAUUUGCCUUAAAGUGUGGGAUAGCUCGGCGAAAGCCGAAUUAAUACCGCAUGUGGCUACUGGAGACAUCUUCGGGACGCUAAAGGUGGCGCAAGCUACCGCUUUUUGAGGAGCCCGCGGCCUAUCAGCUUGUUGGUGAGGUAACGGCUCACCAAGGCGUUGACGGGUAGCUGGUCUGAGAGGACGACCAGCCACACUGGGACUGAGACACGGCCCAGACACCUACGGGUGGCAGCAGUCGAGAAUUUUUGACAAUGGGGGAAACCCUGAUCGAGCGACGCCGCGUGGAGGAUGAAGGUCUUCGGGUUGUAAACUCCUGUCAUUUGGGAACAAGGCGCACGUAUUAACUGUACGUGCGUUGAUAGUACCAGAAGAGGAAGAGACGGCUAACUCUGUGCCAGCAGCCGCGGUAAUACAGAGGUCUCAAGCGUUGUUCGGAUUCAUUGGGCGUAAAGGGUGUGUAGGUGGCGCGCUAAGUCGGGUGUGAAAUUUCGGAGCUUAACUCCGAAACUGCAUUCGAUACUGGCGUGCUUGAGGACUGGAGAGGAGACUGGAAUUUACGGUGUAGCAGUGAGAUGCGUAGAUAUCGUAAGGAAGACCAGUGGCGAAGGCGGGUCUCUGGACAGUUCCUGACACUGAGACACGAAGGCCAGGGGAGCAAACGGGAUUAGAUACCCCGGUAGUCCUGGCAGUAAACGGUGCACGUUUGGUGUGGGAAGGAUUCGACCCCUUCUGCGCCGGAGCUAA